This 253-nucleotide ribosomal RNA is filed under the name uncultured bacterium. RNAcentral's name for it is "partial 16S ribosomal RNA". It matches the Rfam family "Bacterial small subunit ribosomal RNA", at positions 524 to 776 of the family's 1533-position model. The record is from RNAcentral.
UACGUAGGGGGCAAGCGUUGUCCGGAUUUAUUGGGCGUAAAGAGCGCGUAGGCGGUUUGGUAGGUCCGCUGUGAAAACUCGAGGCUCAACCUCGAGACGCCGGUGGAAACCAUCAGGCUAGAGUCCGGAAGAGGAGAGUGGAAUUCCUGGUGUAGCGGUGAAAUGCGCAGAUAUCAGGAAGAACACCCGUGGCUAAGGCGGCUCUCUAGUACGGUACUGACGCUGAGACGCGAAAGCGUGGGGAGCGAACAGG